RNAcentral lists this ribosomal RNA (584 nucleotides) under uncultured Clostridium sp. RNAcentral describes it as "bacterial SSU rRNA". It matches the Rfam family "Bacterial small subunit ribosomal RNA", at positions 51 to 634 of the family's 1533-position model. The record is from RNAcentral. Lineage: Bacteria; Bacillati; Bacillota; Clostridia; Eubacteriales; Clostridiaceae.
AUACAUGCAAGUCGAGCGAGAUGUUAGCGCAUGAACCUUCGGGGGAUUAUGCUAACGGACAGCGGCGGACGGGUGAGUAACGCGUAGGCAACCUGCCCCUGACAGAGGGAUAGCCAUUGGAAACGAUGAUUAAAACCUCAUGACACCGUAGAAGCACAUGCUUCAUCGGUCAAAGAUUUAUCGGUCAGGGAUGGGCCUGCGUCUGAUUAACUAGUUGGUGAGGUAACGGCUCACCAAGGUGACGAUCAGUAGCCGACCUGAGAGGGUGAUCGGCCACAUUGGAACUGAGACACGGUCCAAACUUCUACGGAAGGCAGCAGUAGGGAAUCUUGCACAAUGGGCGAAAGCCUGAUGCAGCAACGCCGCGUGAAGGAUGAAGGCCUUCGGGUUGUAAACUUCUGUUCUAAGGGAAGAAACAAAUGACGGUACCUUAGGAGCAAGCCCCGGCUAACUACGUGCCAGCAGCCGCGGUAAUACGUAGGGGGCAAGCGUUAUCCGGAAUUAUUGGGCGUAAAGAGUGCGUAGGUGGUUACCUAAGCGCAAGGUUUAAUUUAGAGGCUCAACCUCUACUUGCCUUGCGAACU